AAGUCGUAACAAGGUUUCCGUAGGUGAACCUGCGGAAGGAUCAUUAUCGAGUUUUGACUGGGUUGUAGCUGGCCUUCCGAGGCAUGUGCACGCCCUGCUCAUCCACUCUACACCUGUGCACUUACUGUGGGUUUCAGACGGGGUAGCGAGCCUUUACGGGUUCGUGAAAGCGUCUGUGCCUGCGUUUAUUACAAACUCUUACAAGUAAAUGAAUGUGUAUUUGCGAUAUAACGCAUCUAUAUACAACUUUCAGCAACGGAUCUCUUGGCUCUC
RNAcentral lists this unclassified non-coding RNA (273 nucleotides) under air metagenome. RNAcentral's name for it is "partial contains small subunit ribosomal RNA, internal transcribed spacer 1, and 5.8S ribosomal RNA". The stretch from base 1 to 46 matches the Rfam family "Eukaryotic small subunit ribosomal RNA", at positions 1786 to 1831 of the family's 1831-position model. The record is from RNAcentral.